RNAcentral lists this unclassified non-coding RNA (270 nucleotides) under Ascomycota sp. Its description in RNAcentral is "partial contains small subunit ribosomal RNA, internal transcribed spacer 1, and 5.8S ribosomal RNA". The stretch from base 1 to 47 matches the Rfam family "Eukaryotic small subunit ribosomal RNA", at positions 1785 to 1831 of the family's 1831-position model. The record is from RNAcentral. Lineage: Eukaryota; Fungi; Ascomycota.
AAAGUCGUAACAAGGUUUCCGUAGGUGAACCUGCGGAAGGAUCAUUAAAGAGUUAGGGUCUUCUAGGCCCGACCUCCCAACCCUUUGUUUACUGAACCUCUGUUGCUUCGGCGGGCCCGUCUCACGACCGCCGGAGGAUCGCUGAAAGGCGUCCUCUGGUCAGCGUCUGCCGAUAGCCAACCAUUUCAAACUCUGAAUAAAUCAUGUCCUUACGUCUAAGUCUAUGAUUAAAUUAAAGCAAAACUUUCAACAACGGAUCUCUUGGUUCUG